UGGUCAUUACCAAGGCUUUUAGAAUGCAUUUUCUCAUUUGCUGUGGACAUGACCAUAAAAAAAUUUCCCAGUAGGUUUUCUAUCUGCUACUUUGCUAGCAAUCCGCUUAUUGGGAACAGUU
Cercocebus atys (sooty mangabey) is the source of this 121-nucleotide small nucleolar RNA. The record is from Ensembl. NCBI's taxonomy places the organism in Eukaryota, Metazoa, Chordata, Mammalia, Primates, Cercopithecidae.